Molecule: non-coding RNA, 362 nt
Organism: Chrysemys picta bellii (western painted turtle)
Lineage: Eukaryota; Metazoa; Chordata; Testudines; Emydidae
Source: RefSeq, a predicted model, not a curated record
UUUGAAGUGAAAGGAAAAAAAAAAGAAAAGAAAAGCAGCCCAGUUGUGCAGACAACUUAUUCCCCCAGCCCAGACCACAAAAGGGAACGCUAGGGAGGGGUGAGCCCAUCAACCUGCUGACUAUUUUGAAACAAAGAGUUAGGAUGGUAUAAAAACCUCAGGGAGCUUGGAGCCUGUCUCUUCCAACAGAAACGCUCUUGAAUUGCUGCUGGACUGCAAGAGGAGUGUGAUCUGUUUAGCAUGGAACCAGGAACUUUAAGCUGCAUUUCACCACCAGGCCAAGGUAAAAACCAUUUUAAGUAUAGAUGUGCUUAAUACUCUUAAAUUAAAAAAAAAAAAAAACCUUCAGGUAUUACACUGGU